This is a long non-coding RNA of Homo sapiens (human), 666 nucleotides long. Ensembl annotates it as CR1 antisense RNA 1. Its record names the gene CR1-AS1. NCBI's taxonomy places the organism in Eukaryota, Metazoa, Chordata, Mammalia, Primates, Hominidae. The record is from Ensembl.
GACCAAGUAAAAAUUAAAGGGUAAAAUGGAAUGCCAUAUAAUGAUGAGGCAGUAACUGCAACACUGGAAAUCCUAACUGAUAUACCAGCUCUUCCCGAAACAGUGACAGAAAGCUAAAGGGAACUGUGUGACUAUGGCAAUGACCGUCAAUGUUUUUGUAGACACAGUUGUUGAAGCUGACUGGCGAUAUUCUAAUUCUAACCUCAACCUGUCACAUGAAUUUGGACAAAUUAGUUAACCUGUCUGUCUCAGUUUUCUCUUCUAUACAAUGAGGGAUAUGCAUGAUAUCCAUUUCAAAGGGUCUUUUAAAGACUAAGUAAAUCAAUUCAAGUAAAGGACUUAGAAGAAUGCUUGAGGCACAUGCACUUGAGGAUCAUUAGCGAUUGUUAUUCUCCAGAUCUAAUGGCCAAUCUGGUUGGGAUGGUGACCAUCCUCUUUCUCCCUGAGCACUCCUUUCCUGGCCAGCCAGAUGAUCCAAGUUAAUGCUGGCCAACUCCAAGAUGCUGUGUAUUUGGUCAGAGAAGACCUCCUUUCCAGUGGUGGGAGACAGUUCUUUAGGAGUUAACACCUGUGUUCAAGCCUCUUAAGAGCAGGUGGCAAUAGCCUAGUUUCCUUGCUGAGAUGUGGCUAGAAAGUACUAUCGCUGUGCUGGAACUCUUAAACCAA